This 508-nucleotide ribosomal RNA is filed under the name uncultured bacterium. Its description in RNAcentral is "partial 16S ribosomal RNA". It matches the Rfam family "Bacterial small subunit ribosomal RNA", at positions 30 to 523 of the family's 1533-position model. The record is from RNAcentral.
AUUGAACGCUGGCGGCAUGCCUUACACAUGCAAGUCGAACGGCAGCGGGGGAGAAGCUUGCUUUUCCUGCCGGCGAGUGGCGAACGGGUGAGUAAUACAUCGGAACGUGCCCUGUAGUGGGGGGUAACUAGUCGAAAGAUUAGCUAAUACCGCAUACGACCUGAGGGUGAAAGUGGGGGACCGCAAGGCCUCAUGCUAUAGGAGCGGCCGAUGUCUGAUUAGCUAGUUGGUGGGGUAAAGGCCUACCAAGGCGACGAUCAGUAGCUGGUCUGAGAGGCCGAGCAGCCACACUGGGACUGAGACACGGCCCAGACUCCUACGGGAGGCAGCAGUGGGGAAUUUUGGACAAUGGGCGAAAGCCUGAUCCAGCAAUGCCGCGUGUGUGAAGAAGGCCUUCGGGUUGUAAAGCACUUUUGUCCGGAAAGAAAUGGCUCUGGUUAAUACCUGGGGUCGAUGACGGUACCGGAAGAAUAAGGACCGGCUAACUACGUGCCAGCCGCCGCGGUAA